CAAUAGCGUAUAUUAAAGUUGUUGCAGUUAAAAAGCUCGUAGUUGGAUUUCUGGUAGGAGCGACCGUGCCGAACUUGAUUGUUCGAGUAUUGUGUUGUCUUCAGCCAUCCUCGUGGAGAACUUUUCUAACAUUGACUUGUUGGGAUUGGGACCCGCGUCGUUUACUGUGAAAAAAUUAGAGUGUUUAAAGCAGGCAUUAGCUUGAAUACAUUAGCAUGGAAUAAUAAGAUAGGACUUUGGUACUAUUUUGUUGGUUUGCAUACCAAAUUAAUGAUCAACAGGAACAGUUUGAGGAUAUUCGUAUGAACGUGUCAGAGGUGAAAUUCUUGGAUUUUGAUCAGACGAACUACUGCGAAAGCAUUUAUCAAGGAUGUUUUCAUUAAC
This 384-nucleotide ribosomal RNA is filed under the name uncultured eukaryote. Its description in RNAcentral is "partial 18S ribosomal RNA". It matches the Rfam family "Eukaryotic small subunit ribosomal RNA", at positions 592 to 977 of the family's 1831-position model. The record is from RNAcentral.